CACGUAUUUAGCCGGAGCUUCUUUUUCAGGUACCGUCACUUUCUUCCCUGCUGAUAGAGCUUUACAUAACGAAUUACUUCUUCACCCACGCGGCGUCGCUGCAUCAGGGUUCCCCCCAUUGUGCAAUAUCCCCCACUGCUGCCUCCCGUAGGAGUCUGGGCCGUGUCUCAGUCCCAAUGUGGCCGCCCACCCUCUCAGGCCGGCUACUGAUCGUCGCCUUGGUGGGCCGUUGCCCCGCCAACCAGCUAAUCAGACGCGGGCCCAUCCUGCACCGCCGGAGCCUUCCCCCGCCGCCCCAUGCGGGGCUGGCGGGCAUAUGCGGUAUUAGCAGCCGUUUCCGGCUGUUCGUCCCCCAGUGCAGGGCAGGUUCGCCCACGCGUUACCUCCACCCGUCCGCCACGUCGGGCACGCGCCGGCCUUCCGCUCCGAAAGCCUCAGCCUGCGCGCCCCGUUCGACUUGCAUGUGUUAGGCACGCCGCAGCGUUCAUCCUGCGCCAGGACUCAAACUCUAC
Molecule: ribosomal RNA, 512 nt
Filed under: uncultured Eubacteriales bacterium
Lineage: Bacteria; Bacillati; Bacillota; Clostridia; Eubacteriales
Description: uncultured Clostridiales bacterium partial 16S ribosomal RNA
Source: RNAcentral